This is a long non-coding RNA of Neodiprion virginianus, 870 nucleotides long. RefSeq lists it as uncharacterized. The transcript is spliced from 3 exons. Lineage: Eukaryota; Metazoa; Arthropoda; Insecta; Hymenoptera; Diprionidae. The record is from RefSeq and is a predicted model, not a curated record.
CGUUAACCGCACUGCUGCCCGGAUACGAUAACGCAACGUAACGGGGAACGCGUGUUGCCCUGCCAUGCCGACGAUAACACGACCUCCGUCACGGCGUUGGGUCCGCCUGUAAUUACGCUUCGUAUUAAUCUAUCAUCCUGAUAUUGCGCGUGGGGAAAAUUUUCCAGAUAUCCUGCAGAAACGCGGGCCAUAUAGGGUUCCGCGAAAGCCCGAUAGAAUUACCUUAAUUAAUUACAUCGAUGGUAUGUGUGUGUAUGUGUGUGUGUGUGUCCGUUUCGCGAACUGCUUUUCAGCCGGCGUGGUGGCUACGUCACCUUCCCAAAAAUGCUCAUCAAUUUUUAUCGAAAUUCUAAAGGGAAACGGUAAAUGAGCCAAUUUCAUAGCGAGCCGGGGGAAGAUAUGGAUUCUAAUGAAAAUUGAAAACCUGAACAAGGAUCAAUUGAAAAUUUGAUGGAAGAUGAGUAAUGAUGCGAAAAAAAAUUUCAUUCCGUCUGAUAGAUCGGCAUAACUUCAAUGAUCGAUGGCUGGUGAUUAAUGAACUAAAAUCAUCGUGAGUCGUAGCCCUUCUUUUCCAGCUACCUGCCUCAAUACCGCUGUGCUAUUGAAUAAUAGAAUGACGCAUAUGAGCAAGAAAAGGGAUUGCUAUAUGGUGCUGGAAUAGCUGAUUAACCGAUAAAAAUUGCGACGUCAGGGAUGUACGCAAGCCAAAUGCUCGGAUGGCAAUCGCCCAUGGACUGCACGCGGUAACUCCACUAUUUCCGGCGGAAAUCAUUAGAAAAAAUUUCAAAGUGUACUUGAAAACAUAAGUAAAAUAUCCUCCAAGUUUAAACAUUUUGUGAUUAUUCCUUCCUGGUUAAAAAAAUCAUGAAA